Delphinapterus leucas (beluga whale) is the source of this 813-nucleotide non-coding RNA. The record is from RefSeq and is a predicted model, not a curated record. Lineage: Eukaryota; Metazoa; Chordata; Mammalia; Artiodactyla; Monodontidae.
GAAGCCGCGCGGGUUGUGCUGGCCCACAGCCAGGAAGGUGGAGGGGGCAGGAAGACGCUGGGCUGUGGGAAGCAGGGCCAGUAGGUAUAGCACCAGCUGCUGGUCCUGGAGGAACAGAGUGAGGGCAGGAAGAGGCCGCUUCUCGCUGCAGGUCAACAGUCCCCCCAGUGACGGUGGGACAAACACCAGGGUGCGUGGGAUCCGGUCACGGAGAGGUGUGGAGGUAGCUCUUUGGGAGAGGGAGAGAGUGCUGGCCAGAGCUGCAGAGAAGCUGACUUUCUCGUCUGGUCGGGAAUCACCUGGGCGAUCCAUUUCACAAUGCAAUGCAGAGCGAGAUGAACCAGAACCUGCUGUCUGGGAUAGGGGCCAUCCCACCUCCAAGGCGACGUGAGACCUGCACGAGGACCCUGGGGCGCUCUCCUCCUGUGGGCUGUCUGAGCAACACCACGGCCAAGUCCUGGGGUCAUCUACGGCGUUAUUCUUGGCGAACUUGAUGUUUGCGCAUCACCUUUAAUAACUUUAUUACCUGAACCACCCAGCAUUCAUGAAAUGGCAACCGUGACGCACUAGCUGGUGCUGUGACUGUUUAUUCAUUCCACAAACUUUUAUUGAGCACCUACUCUAUAGACCAGGAGUUACACAAGGGUCUGGUGACGUCGUGGUAGGGAACACGGUCCCUGGCCUCAGGAUACCAGAUAGAUAUUGUGAGAUAAUAGAAAAAAUGUGCACUGGAGUCUGCCACCGGCUCCUGGCACGGGGCUCCGGAGCCCUUGUAAUUUCCUUAGUGAUGAGAACAUGAGGAGCAUCUCUUGU